This 21-nucleotide non-coding RNA is filed under the name Caenorhabditis elegans. The record is from RNAcentral. Lineage: Eukaryota; Metazoa; Nematoda; Chromadorea; Rhabditida; Rhabditidae.
UUAUAAUUUUGUUACUAUAAC